UACGUAGGGGGCUAGCGUUGUCCGGAUUUAUUGGGCGUAAAGAGUUCGUAGGCGGUUUGUUACGUCUAAUGUUAAAGAUCAGGGCUCAACCCUGGGACUGCAUUGGAUACUGGCAGACUGGAGUGUGGUAGAGGUAAGUGGAAUUUCUGGUGUAGCGGUGAAAUGCGUAGAUAUCAGGAAGAACACCAGUGGCGUAGGCGACUUACUGGGCCAUAACUGACGCUGAGGAACGAAAGCGAGGGGAGCAAAUGGG
This 253-nucleotide ribosomal RNA is filed under the name uncultured bacterium. RNAcentral describes it as "partial 16S ribosomal RNA". It matches the Rfam family "Bacterial small subunit ribosomal RNA", at positions 524 to 776 of the family's 1533-position model. The record is from RNAcentral.